RNA transcript from Drosophila ananassae, 2242 nucleotides. RefSeq lists it as uncharacterized. The record is from RefSeq and is a predicted model, not a curated record. The transcript has 5 exons. Lineage: Eukaryota; Metazoa; Arthropoda; Insecta; Diptera; Drosophilidae.
ACUCAGCUGCUCAGGUUGGUCUCGCUGCCGAAAAUCCGAUUUUGCACAUUCGCCAAUUGGACUUGGGAGUCGGACGCGGUCGCUCGGUGUUUAAACAACGUUGUCGCGCUUGCCUAAUAAUAACCACUACAAUGAGUGACUACUAGCCUCCUAGGUGCUACAGAUUCCAGGUCAUCAUCGGUUGAGUGAACUCCAGUGCUCCAGACGCAAUGCGAUUGCUCUGGUUGCAGCUUCUAGCUGCUAUUUAUCUCACCAUAUUCAUGGAUUGUGCAACAGCCGCCAAGGCAUCGACAUCUCGAUCCCGUGGAGUUGCACAAUAUAAACUCCCACUGCCAGUGCCAACCAAUGAAGCAGCACAUAACCAGGGAGUGGGUGGGAAACCAGGAGAAGAUCAUGCCACGCGGCAGCCUCAGCAGCGCAGGCGUAUGCAGGUUAUCCGGCGAAGGAAACCUAUUGGAGGAAACUCUACAACCACCUCCACAACAACAUCAACAACUACAACAUCCACUACGACAACAACAACUCCCCGUCCCAGCUUGGCCAACGGCUUCAAUUUCCUAAAUCCCAGUUUCUGGAGCUUUGGCCAGCAGAGCCUGGUGGCAGUGCGUCCGCCCACCAAACAGCCCCAUCCGCCCAAGAAGUUCAAGCCCAAGGAGGAGAAGCUCAGUCAAAGGAAGCCGGCGAAAACCACCAACAAACCUAUAUCUGCUGGGAACUCAACCACAAAGAGAACCUCCGGCAGGACCUCCUCCACCUCCACCUCCACAACCACCAGUACGACGACGGGGAAACCCUCUACGGAUGGACCCUUUCGUAUAGCCCUGCCCACCUUGACCUUUCCCAGUGGCCAGGGCAAGGAGAGCGACAAGGAGAAGGGCAAACGGGCUACUGCCGAGCUGCGACUGAGGUUCGAUUGUCCGCGGGAGAAUGAGGUGCGGUUCCAACUCUUCCCGAAGAUCUGUAAGACGGACAGGGACUGCGCCGUCUGGCAGAGGGAUGAGCUGUGCUGCGACAUCUUCGGAGCCAGCAGCUGUGUGUCCGGGGUUCCUAAGCCCCUGGAGGAGGCUCCACAUGCUCCUAUUUUGGGCUUAAUACCCCGGAAAUGUCCGAGUAGACCUCUGGCAGAGCUCUGGUGGGAUGUACAGGAGUGUAACACGGACAUGGACUGCUGGCCCAGGGUCUGUUGUCCAGAUGGCCGGAGGCGCUACUGUCGCACCUCGCAGCCGGAGCUUGAAACCGCACCAGUGCCAGUGAAGCGCUCCUUCGAUUACCUUACCGAGUACUUGGAGUGCACAGCCCCACCUCCGCCCAUUUUCGAUCUUCAUCCGAAGGCCUGCACAUCCACGUUGGACUGUUUUCCCAACGUUUGCUGCCAGGAGGCGGGUCUCCGGCACUGUAGGCCCCCUAAGAAAUCCGUUCUCACACUGAUGGCCAACUUUCUGAACGUGGACUUUGUGAAGCGGUUGGCCCAAAACAUUGUUAUCAAGUAGGCUCCCCCCGAUUCCCACUAUUUUUUUUCCAUGGGUGUAGCCUAUAUUAGAACCGUUUCGACACUGCCGUGAUAUCUCCGUCCGUAUUUGUUUGUCCCCGCUGAUAACCAAAAACAAAAAUCGUCUAUACAUACAUACUGUUACUGCGUAGUCAGUUCACCCAACCGAUUCACUGUAAUCCUCCAUAAAUGUUCACCUAGCUUAGUAUUUAGACUUAAAUAAAUGCGAACUACUUAUAAACUUAAAUGACUAUUGAGGAGUUUUCUCAAUUCAAGGUUGAGUGUCCAGUGGCCAGAGGUUGUGGGGUCUUUCGUAACAUCACUCUGAAACUGUAGGUCACUCAUGUCAUGAACUUUAGUAAGUGGAAACCACUCUGUUCUUGUUCUUGACUCACUUUGCUGACAUAAUAAUUGUAAUUUUGUAUUGUAAGUGCAAUAAUUGUUUAUGUCUGGGGGUUGAGAAAUUAGUAAGCACUUAUUUACAGAAAUUGGAGAUGAUUUGAAGCUUGAAAACAGUCUGGAAAACAAUCCAGUUGGCAAUUUAUUACUCAUUUACGGAGGUGCUAAUGUCAGCUUAGAAGUGCAACAAAGUCAAGGAGAUUCUCUAAUGGAAUAAGAUCUAUUCAUGUGAACACCACUGUCUUCUUAGUCGCACGUCUCGAGAAAACUCAAGAAGUGCGGCCUGGGCUUUGAAACCCAAGCCCCAGCCAGACAAUAGAAGCGUCUCAGAUUACCCAACUGACUGCUUAUACA